RNAcentral lists this non-coding RNA (30 nucleotides) under Mus musculus (house mouse). The record is from RNAcentral. Lineage: Eukaryota; Metazoa; Chordata; Mammalia; Rodentia; Muridae.
UGACAUCCCUUAAGGUUAUAAACAGGCAGC